RNAcentral lists this ribosomal RNA (301 nucleotides) under uncultured bacterium. Its description in RNAcentral is "partial 16S ribosomal RNA". It matches the Rfam family "Bacterial small subunit ribosomal RNA", at positions 509 to 808 of the family's 1533-position model. The record is from RNAcentral.
CAGCAGCCGCGGGAACACGUAGGGCGCAAGCGUUAUCCGGAAUUAUUGGGCGUAAAGAGCUCGUAGGCGGUUUGUCGCGUCUGCCGUGAAAGUCCGGGGCUCAACCCCGGAUCUGCGGUGGGUACGGGCAGACUAGAGUGAUGUAGGGGAGACUGGAAUUCCUGGUGUAGCGGUGAAAUGCGCAGAUAUCAGGAGGAACACCGAUGGCGAAGGCAGGUCUCUGGGCAUUAACUGACGCUGAGGAGCGAAAGCAUGGGGAGCGAACAGGAUUAGAUACUCCUUAGUCCCUGUCUCUUAUACC